CCUACGGGGGGCAGCAGUGGGGAAUAUUGGACAAUGGGGGGAACCCUGAUCCAGCCAUGCCGCGUGUGUGAAGAAGGCCCUCGGGUUGUAAAGCACUUUCAGUGAGGAAGAACGCCUGGUGGUUAAUACCCAUCAGGAAAGACAUCACUCACAGAAGAAGCACCGGCUAACUCCGUGCCAGCAGCCGCGGUAAUACGGAGGGUGCGAGCGUUAAUCGGAAUUACUGGGCGUAAAGCGCGCGUAGGUGGCUUGAUAAGCCGGUUGUGAAAGCCCCGGGCUCAACCUGGGAACGGCAUCCGGAACUGUCAAGCUAGAGUGCAGGAGAGGAAGGUAGAAUUCCCGGUGUAGCGGUGAAAUGCGUAGAGAUCGGGAGGAAUACCAGUGGCGAAGGCGGCCUUCUGGACUGACACUGACACUGAGGGGCGAAAGCGUGGGUAGCAAACAGGAUUAGAUACCCUUGUAGUC
This 465-nucleotide ribosomal RNA is filed under the name Vreelandella stevensii. Its description in RNAcentral is "partial 16S ribosomal RNA". It matches the Rfam family "Bacterial small subunit ribosomal RNA", at positions 338 to 795 of the family's 1533-position model. The record is from RNAcentral. Lineage: Bacteria; Pseudomonadati; Pseudomonadota; Gammaproteobacteria; Oceanospirillales; Halomonadaceae.